Long non-coding RNA from Chenopodium quinoa (quinoa), 1300 nucleotides. RefSeq lists it as uncharacterized. The record is from RefSeq and is a predicted model, not a curated record. Lineage: Eukaryota; Viridiplantae; Streptophyta; Magnoliopsida; Caryophyllales; Amaranthaceae. The transcript has 2 exons.
GUCUGAGUCUCAAGUCUGAAUGCAGACCUCGCUCGCUCCUUUCUCUCUCCUCACUCAACCUCGUUCUUCUCUAGCUUAUGCAAGGGCCCCAUUUACCAUCCAAACUACUCUUCUUCCAUACUUCUUCAACCCAAUCAAUGGUUUACAGUAUGAGGUCCUUUGCUGCCCUAAAACACUGUGGCCAUGCUCAUCAUCAUCAAGGUGUACAAGAGCUCCGGAACACGGUUGAUCUCUCAACAACACACACAACAACGACAACGACGACAACAACGCAUGAUGAUAGUAGUGUAGAAGGAAGAAGAAGCUUCUCAUCACUAUCAUUAGCUAUAAAGUUUUAGCCUUUUAUUCGGUGCUAUCCUACCUGAGCUUUAUAUAUUACUCUACCUAUCUUUUUUAUUCUCUUUUUCUUGACCUUGUAAGACCUUUUCUUGACCUUAUAAGGCCUGGUCCAAUCUUCUUAACCCUAGUUUCAAUCCGAACCAAGGUAUUCAUCAUUGAACACGGAUUCGGUAUAUUAGUUAACUAGGGUUUAACAUAACCUUCCAACUCAUCAUUUCACCUCUUGUCUAUCCCUCCUGAGCUACAGAUCCAAUUACUACCUAAGUCGAUCUUCCAUGGAAUGAAGUUGCUUUGUACAGUAUAUGUAUAUCUUCAAUGUUUCAAAAGCUUAGCUUGCUCAUCAAAGGCGGCGGCCUUUCAUCAACAUGUAUGUAUGGAAUACCUUAAGGCUUUAAGGGUGAAUCAACUUGUAAACCCUUCCUUUCACUUCUUAUUGUAUAAUACUUAUAUAUUUUUGUACAUUAUCUCUUAUGAGAACGAAUAUACAAUAUUAAGCCGAAUACCAAAUAGACACUCCUCAUAAAAACAAAAGGGCCUCGAUCUCCCGUGUCCCGUGUGGCACGGCUAAUUUGUUGACCAGGGCAACACAGAAUUUGAGGUGGCUUCUUUUGAAUAUUAAACAGUAGCCAGUUGGUUGGCAGCUUAGAGUUGUGUGAGUUUUAGUGAUGGAAGCUUUAUAUGCUUUGAGCUUCGUUAAAAUUGUUCUCUUUUUCCUAUGUAAGGCCACAUUCAUGGUGUACUAGUAUAUAAUAAUUGACCUUAGCUAGUGCUGUGGUUUGGUGCUGCGCAAAAUAUUUGUCCUUUAGCUUUUUCCUUAAGUAAACAAAUGUUGUUAGUUUCUUACAAGAGGGACCGCAUGUUUGUUACCUUUUUUAAUCAAGUGGAUUGCUGUAGUGACACACUCCCAUGUAUUUUUAGGGCACUGUUCUACUAUACAAAGGUUCAAAUCCUCUUCGAUUCA